This 270-nucleotide ribosomal RNA is filed under the name Salmonella enterica. RNAcentral's name for it is "partial 23S ribosomal RNA". It matches the Rfam family "Bacterial large subunit ribosomal RNA", at positions 2673 to 2925 of the family's 2925-position model. Lineage: Bacteria; Pseudomonadati; Pseudomonadota; Gammaproteobacteria; Enterobacterales; Enterobacteriaceae. The record is from RNAcentral. RNAcentral also lists the same sequence under 2 other names.
UGCUCCUAGUACGAGAGGACCGGAGUGGACGCAUCACUGGUGUUCGGGUUGUCAUGCCAAUGGCACUGCCCGGUAGCUAAAUGCGGAAGAGAUAAGUGCUGAAAGCAUCUAAGCACGAAACUUGCCCCGAGAUGAGUUCUCCCUGAGACUUUAAGUCUCCUGAAGGAACGUUGAAGACGACGACGUUGAUAGGCCGGGUGUGUAAGCGCAGCGAUGCGUUGAGCUAACCGGUACUAAUGAACCGUGAGGCUUAACCUUACAACGCCGAAG